Molecule: non-coding RNA, 751 nt
Organism: Macaca mulatta (Rhesus monkey)
Lineage: Eukaryota; Metazoa; Chordata; Mammalia; Primates; Cercopithecidae
Source: RefSeq, a predicted model, not a curated record
AGGGGGAUGGGUAUCCCAUUUUUCAUGAUGUGCUUAUUUCACAUUGCAUGCCUGCAUCAAAACAUCUCAUGUACACCGUGAAUAUAUACGCUUAUUACAUACACAUUUUUUUUAAAAAAGAAUUAUCUGAUGUAUUUCAAAAUGGUUACUUUUCCCUUCUACCUGCUGAAGACACGAGUGAAUUUUUCUCCGAUAGCCACUGUGAGAACCUGGUUGAGCUCCAUGAGAUUAAAUUUUUCAAAGGUGGUGAGGGGUGUGGGGAGGUGGGGACUGAUCACUGUAUUGACCUGGAGUUUUUAACUUUCAGACCUGUCUGCGCUGAGUUUAUAGCAACUGUCAAUUACAGUUCAGGUUGUCCUACCUCAGCAUGACUUUCCAAAGAGGCUUUUGCUCGUGGAUUUCUGCUCCAAUGCAACAGGAAGGUCCUCACCAGUUGGCUGAGCAGAUGCAGGUGUUGUGCCUCUGGACUGCCUAGCCUCCAGAACCGUGAGCCAAACAAAGUUCUAUUCAUUGUAAAUUACGCACUUUGUGGUAUUCUGUUAUGCAGCCGAAAAUGGACUACGAUAGUAUUGUAAACUUGUAUUCCAUGAUAUUUACCCAAAGUAUGUAGAAAGCCUGGCUCAGACCCUCAGAGCUGCCCACUGGACCCACAGCUGAUCAUAGAUGCUUGUGUGAGCCCAGCCAGAACGAGAAGAUCUCCCAGCAGACCCAUAGACUCAGGAAAAAUAAAAAAGCUUACGGCUUAAGUCAA